GAUGAACGCUGGCGGCGUGCCUAAUACAUGCAAGUCGAGCGAACAGAUAAGGAGCUUGCUCCUUUGACGUUAGCGGCGGACGGGUGAGUUACACGUGGAUAACCUACCUAUAAGACUGGGAUAACUUCGGGAAACCGGAGCUAAUACCGGAUAACAUAUUGAACCGCAUGGUUCAAUAGUGAAAGGCGGCUUUGCUGUCACUUAUAGAUGGAUCUGCGCCGUAUUAGCUAGUUGGUAAGGUAACGGCUUACCAAGGCAACGAUACGUAGCCGACCUGAGAGGGUGAUCGGCCACACUGGAACUGAGACACGGUCCAGACUCCUACGGGAGGCAGCAGUAGGGAAUCUUCCGCAAUGGGCGAAAGCCUGACGGAGCAACGCCGCGUGAGUGAUGAAGGUCUUCGGAUCGUAAAACUCUGUUAUCAGGGAAGAACAAAUGUGUAAGUAACUGUGCACAUCUUGACGGUACCUGAUCAGAAAGCCACGGCUAACUACGUG
RNAcentral lists this ribosomal RNA (497 nucleotides) under uncultured bacterium. RNAcentral's name for it is "partial 16S ribosomal RNA". It matches the Rfam family "Bacterial small subunit ribosomal RNA", at positions 28 to 507 of the family's 1533-position model. The record is from RNAcentral.